This 1781-nucleotide long non-coding RNA is filed under the name Sus scrofa (pig). RNAcentral describes it as "lncRNA (ENSSSCG00025053606.1)". The record is from RNAcentral. Lineage: Eukaryota; Metazoa; Chordata; Mammalia; Artiodactyla; Suidae.
CCCAAUUACCAGUUUUGUACACAUUUUAUACAUGUUAUCAGGCUUGAACUAUUUCUUCCAACUUUCAUUUACCAAGAGACUAUGAUAACAUCAGUAAAAUACAACCAGGAUGGGUAAAUUUUCCUUAUCCUACCUAUGUCACGAUCAUGCUGCAAAUCCUCCCAUCAUGAUUUUUUUCAGUUUUACUUAUAUAUUUAUAUUUAUAGAUUUGUAUAUACAUAUUUCAGAUUUUUCCCAUUACAGGUUAUUGCAAGAUAUCGAAUAUAGUUCUCUAUGCUGAAUAGUAAAUCCUUGCUAUCUAUUUCAUAUAAUAGUAUAUCUGGUAAUCCCAUGCUCCUCAUUUAUCCCUCCCUCCCUCUUUUCUUUUAUGUAAACAUAAAUUUGUUUUCUAUGCUUGAGUCUAUUUCUUCUUUCUCCUAUUCGACCCCUAGCCUGGGAACCUCCAUAUGUCACAGGUGCGGCCCUAAAAAGACAAAAAAAAAAAAAAUUCCUCUGGUACCAUCAGGCAUGGCUGGAUAUACAUGAAAUUGAAAAUGUCCAAGAGACAAACCAUCCAUGUAACUAACCCUAGAAUCCGAAAACAUUCACUCAGUACUCAGGCUUCUGGAGACUUGCUUUAGGAGGUCACAUACAUCUCUGUGUGCCUUCAAGCACGGCUUAGCAUGAACGGGGGGAUGAGUGAGAAAGCCUACUGCCUUAAACACAGCCAUAUAGAGCAAGCUGGUCCUCAGGUGGAUGACCUUCUCACCCAGAAUUUAAGGGAUAAAUUAAGGAGUUUGGGAUAAACAGAUAUACACUACUAUAUAUAAUCAAGGAUUUACUGUAUAGCACGGGAAACCGUAUUCAAUAUCUUAUAAUAACCUAUAAUGGAAAAGAAUCUGAGGAAUGUAUUUAUAUGUAUAACUGAAUCACUUUGCUGUACAUCGGAAACUGACACAACACUGUAAAUCAGCUAAUUUUAGUAAAAAGUAUAUAUAUAAUAGAAAAUCCUCUUAAAAUGUUGGAUAUUUCUUUGUGAUUAUUGUCCUUUAUAGAUGAGUAAAUGACACUAUAAAAAUGUGUUCUCUCUGGAGCAUUACUUGGCAAUCGAAGCCAAAUAUGGAAGUGGUUGAAAUUCAGUUUCCAAUUUAGUACCCCUCUUAGGCGAGUGAUGAAAGCUCCCAUAUCUUAGUGUUUCUGAGUAUCUGCCACCUCACUGAGGCAAUAUGUUAUCAUCUACACUAAAAGUUCCAUACUUGUGAAACAAUAGAGACAUGGCUUCUUAUUCCCCUUCCUCUUUUUUUUUUUUUUUUUUUUUUGAGGGGGAUAAAUUACUUUUACAAGGUACAACUAUUGCUUGAGGGUACUUAUUGCUUUUACAGACAAGAAAGAAAAAAAAAGGGAAAAUAAUAGCUAGAAGGAAAGUGUGCCCCAUGCCACAUUCAGGUCACUCUAUCUAAUAAGUACUUAUAGAAUGUUCCAUGUACCUUGCAUGUCACAAGAGAUGUACAUUCAGGAAAAGAAUAAAGCAACAGACUCCUUAGAGAGUAACAUGGCGUGGCUGAGGAAUAAAUAUAAAUUGUCUUCCCUACCCUCUGAGAGAUUGAUGAAUUAUUUAUUAGUUAAUUUUCCCACCCAAGAUUACAAUCAUCUCACCUGCUGCUUGCCAGCCUAGUGGGUUAUUAAUAUCUUUUGCCCUACUUAUUAACAUAUUUUCCUUAGGGUACUCAUCCUGCAUUAAACACAACCCCCUAGUCACGAUUGCUUGUUUUUCCUCUGGAAGGCUCUAUUAUUAUUGAGAU